AUAAAGUUUAAUUUUAGCUUAAAAAUUUAUUAUAUUUUUUAUUUACAUGUAAAUUAUAGUAUGUUAAAAAAUUAAUUUAAAUAGUUAAUUUUAGUUUAUUUUAAUCGCAGUAUUAAGAUUUAUUAAUUUAGGAAAUUAAGAAAUAUAAAAAAAUUAUAAAUAUUGACAAAAUUUGUGCCAGCAGUUGCGGUUAUACAAAAAAUGUAAAUAAAUUUUAUUGAUUUGUAAUAAAAAUGUUUUAUUUUAAUUAAAAUUAGAUUUAUAAGGUGAAAUUUAAAAUUUAAAUAGGUUAUUUAUAAAUUAUUUGAUUUUAUUAAAUUUAAAUUUUAAACUAGGAUUAGAUACCCUAUUAUUUUAAAUGUAAAUAGUAAUUCAUUUAAUUAGUAUUAGUUAUGAUCUUGAAAUUUAAAAAUUUUGGCGGUAUUUUAGUCUAUUCAGAGGAACCUGUUUUGUAAUUGAUAGUCCACGAUAAAUUAUACUUUAUUUAUUAGUUUGUAUAUCGUCGUUAUUAAAUAUUUUAUAAGAAUAUAAAUAUUUAAUUUUUUAAAUAAAAAAAUAUAUCAGAUCAAGGUGCAGCAUAUAUUAAAGUAUUAAUGGGUUACAAUAAAUUUAUUUAUAUGGAUAAAAAUAUUAAAAUUUUUUUUGAAAGUGGAUUUGAAAGUAAUAAUAUUAAAAUUAAUAUUAUGAUUUAAGCUCUAAAAUGUGUACAUAUCGCCCGUCGCUCUUAUUAUAAGAUAAGAUAAGUCGUAACAAAGUAGAUGUACUGGAAAGUGUAUCUAGAAUGA
Molecule: non-coding RNA, 785 nt
Filed under: Nebrioporus ceresyi
Lineage: Eukaryota; Metazoa; Arthropoda; Insecta; Coleoptera; Dytiscidae
Source: RNAcentral